Molecule: long non-coding RNA, 2026 nt
Organism: Felis catus (domestic cat)
Lineage: Eukaryota; Metazoa; Chordata; Mammalia; Carnivora; Felidae
Exons: 4
Source: RefSeq, a predicted model, not a curated record
CACUUCUUCCUUAAGUUACUAGUUCCCUUAGAAAAUGCAUUCUUAUUUCCCUCCAACACCACUGGUUCCUUCUUUUUACUCCUCCUCCUGGCUCUUCCUUUUUUCCCCCCGCCUCUCCAUAUUCAUGAUCUCAUUCAGGACUCUUGCUUUAAAGAUCAAAUCCAUAUCCAAGUUCUGGCCUCUUCCCUGCAACUCCAGAUUCUUAUGUCUAGCUCAACACCUCUGCUUAAAAAUCUAAUGAACAUCUUAGACUUAACACUUCCAAAAUAGAAUUCCUGAUAUUUUCCCCCAAACCUACUCCUCCUCCAGUCUUCUCCAUCACAGUAAAUGGUGCCAAAUUCACCUAGUUGCUUAAUUCACAAAUAAUAAUGAUAAUAACACUUACUGACUUGGGCCAAAUUCUGUUCUAAAUAGAACCUUAUUUUUCUGUUUAGAAAAUACCUUAGAAAAAAACUUAUUGUUAAGGUUUAAUAUUUUCUGUGUUGGGCUUCCCUUUUGCCUUAGCUUCUUAGGAAAGUUUCUUUUGUUUGUUGUAGAAGCACAUUCAAGGGAUAUUUCACUAGCUCUCCUCCCACUCCAGACUCCCAUGCAUUCCGAGGUUACUAUGGAUACUGUAAGCCUGCCAUGCCUUGUUGACUGCUAAGUUCCAAUGAUGGAAUGUGGAGAGCACUGAGAGCCUCAGGCGGUGGUGAAGGAAGACAGAAAUGAAAAACACAAAAUGUACAGUCUGGGCUGCAAGAUUUAUGUAACAGAGGAUGGGCCAUUAUGUGCUGAGCAAGCUGGAGAGGCACAAGGUUGCCAAAUGGGUGUGCACCCCCUGCCCCCAAAAUGAAAGUCCAGUCUACUAUGGUUUGGCUUUCUACUACAAUAACCUAGCAAGGAACAAAGAAGCAAAGCAAUUAGUUCACAGGGCAAGGGCUGAGGAGGUGUGGAAGUCAUUUGGGACAAAAAAGCAAAAAGCUACAGAAACACUAAAGGACAAUGUGCUUCAAGGUCUGAGAAAGCAACCAAGAACUUCUCAGUGUGAAAAUGGAUUGCUUUACAGGUAACAAAUUCAAAGAACAAAGUAUCCAGGAGGAAAAAAAUUUCCUUUAAUUGAAUAACAAGAACAGUUAGUGUGAUCCACUACUGCUGGCAUAUAGAGUUAUUUGGAAAAACUCCACUAACACCACCCAUAUGUCCUGUCCUACGCAGAUGGCCAGAUAAAGUUGCCAGAGAGAAGGCCCUGUAGUUCAGCCAAAACUCACUGCAGAAUAGUUGUUUGUUGAAAAGCGCAGUCAUGGGAUUUUAGAACUUAAAGGGACUUGAAAUUUCUCUCUCCUAACCACCUUAUUUUAAAAAAGAGAUAACUAGACCUCUCAAGAGGUCAAAGAACACAUCUGAUCAGGGUCAAUAUCAGGCUCUACCCAAAAUGUGGGUUUCUGGACUGCAAGUGUAAUUAACCUAUAUCAUCUGUACCUAUCAACCAACAGCACUAUAGUCAGCUGUUGAUUUUUCAAGAACUAUGGAUAUUUUUAUUUCUCUUGGUAUUUCACUCCACAUACUCCACUAUGGAUGGAAAAAUAAGUACACAUUCAAAUCAAUUGGCUAUACUCUAUGUUACCACUUUUGUUAUGAGUUCAGUCAGAAAGAACCAAUGUUCAGACUGUUGUCCAAAGUAUGAACUGAAAAUUAUCUUUGGCUUUUUAUUUCUUGUGCGUUUCUUGUCUCUUCAUACCACAGAAAGUAUAAAGAGAACUCAGAAAGCUUUGCCCUGUUGGGGGACUGGCCUGGGAUACUGGUCAGCAGAAUACCAGCAGCAGCUUGAAGAUGAGCUCAUGGAAGGCAGUUAGGUGCAGGUGGGCAGGGUAAGUCCUCCAGGGCACUCAGUUGUGAGCAGCCAGGAGACAGCCACAGAGGGCACACUGAGCGGGCAUCUUGCACACUGAUGCUCGUAAUUGCCUUCAGGAAUUAUAGCCAAUAACUACAAGGCAAACUCGGCUGAGUUAACAGUAUAGAUACGUGAAAUCUAUUGAAUUUGGAGAAA